Molecule: long non-coding RNA, 1555 nt
Organism: Scleropages formosus (Asian bonytongue)
Lineage: Eukaryota; Metazoa; Chordata; Actinopteri; Osteoglossiformes; Osteoglossidae
Source: Ensembl
GAACCUUCAUAGAAGAAGUCGAGAGUGACGGGUUGCCGGGUAAGGUUAACUGGGAGAGGGAUUCGCGAAUAAUGGGCAGAAUAACCAGCGCAUCGGACCAUUGCCGUUUCUGAGCACUUGCCCAGUUCUAAAAUUAAGACAUUGUGUAUUCGAGCGGGGCGAUGUGAAUUUCAAGCACAGUGAGUUUUUCGUUAUUCUAAGAUGCUUACUACUUUGUUGUUCUGUUUUUUUUUUUCCUGCGAGUUUUCUGUCAAAAUCAAUGAUUUUACGCGACAAAUGAGUCAAAGACACUGUAAGCGGAACAAAGAACACGGUGAAAAUCUGACCAUCGUCGUCGUCUUGGCCGUCGCCGUUACGGGUGUCCUCAACGACCGCUCCGCCGGUGUCCGACGGCUGACGGGAACGUCUCCUCGACCUCGGGCGGUCCGGACGAAAGUUGACGGACACACACAGCCGAAGCUCGCUCGUCUCUUGAGUUCAGCUCGUACUGACUCCGUAACGAACGUGCGAUGCGAAGCGGUGCCCGUUUUCGAGGAGCCCGACGUUUCGCGGUAACUAUCUGACGAGCGGCUGAGCGUCGUCGAGGAGGAGCGCGAGACCGGCGCGAGAAGAAGGCGCGAAGACGGCGGGAUCGCGGAGGCUCCGCACUCGCUCGACAGCGAGUCCAACUCAACUGCUGAGGACUUUAGCGUAGUUUGACCACAACUGGAUAAACAACUGCUCCGCGGGGGUCCGCAAAUAGGACAGAGCGUGUAUAAUAAUGAUUUUAAUGUGCUCUACAGGGCUGCGCAACUUGGUCUUUCUAAACACAGCCAGGUGAGAACGUGAGACCAGAUACAAUGAAGGGUGAAAGACUGCGGUGGGACACAUGAAAACACCACGGUCAUCACCCCCUAUGUUGCUCAGCAUAUAAGACAACACACAUACAGGGAAAUUAUGAAGAGACCUUCUACACAUACUAAAGGACAGCCAAUCAUAUUGUCCAUGUAAGUCAGUGUCCUUGUGUUAAGUAUAGUUUCGCACGUCAGGUACAUGUGGCACGUGCGCGCUGGCUGUGUGUCUGUUCUGCAGCUUAAAUUGACACGUACAUUUAUUAUUUAGCAUACGCUUUUCCCCAAAGCGACACGCAAGCCGUAGUGCAUCUUUCCACCUCUUCUGAGUGCAGACAUGAUAAAUGUUUUUGUUAUUCAGAUUUUUUUUUUUUUUUUUUUUUUUUUUGGGUCCACUGAGGUCCAGAUGCUGCUCUUGUAAAGAAUAUGCAUGUUGACAAAGCUUUGACCCCCGGUUGACCUUUGCAAGUUAGUGGCGUUAAUCAGUGUAGCAGGUGACACGGUUUGCCAGUCCUGUGGCCGUGUUCAGAGCGUGCCCAGAAUAUGGCGGCUACAUUUAACCGCUGCCGGAGCGGGCAGGAGCGCGUCCUCGUACCAAGGUCAGAGGGUUCCUCGUGCGGUCGCUCAGAUCGCUGCUGCUGCUACUGCUGGCUUCUCUGGGCCUCCUGGAGAAGGAAUGGGGAGGGGUGGGGGGCGGUUAGCAUGGAAAUGUUUCCUUUCAGGGU